Molecule: ribosomal RNA, 1939 nt
Filed under: Escherichia coli
Lineage: Bacteria; Pseudomonadati; Pseudomonadota; Gammaproteobacteria; Enterobacterales; Enterobacteriaceae
Description: partial 23S ribosomal RNA
Rfam family: Bacterial large subunit ribosomal RNA
Source: RNAcentral
CGGGACACGUGGUAUCCUGUCUGAAUAUGGGGGGACCAUCCUCCAAGGCUAAAUACUCCUGACUGACCGAUAGUGAACCAGUACCGUGAGGGAAAGGCGAAAAGAACCCCGGCGAGGGGAGUGAAAAAGAACCUGAAACCGUGUACGUACAAGCAGUGGGAGCACGCUUAGGCGUGUGACUGCGUACCUUUUGUAUAAUGGGUCAGCGACUUAUAUUCUGUAGCAAGGUUAACCGAAUAGGGGAGCCGAAGGGAAACCGAGUCUUAACUGGGCGUUAAGUUGCAGGGUAUAGACCCGAAACCCGGUGAUCUAGCCAUGGGCAGGUUGAAGGUUGGGUAACACUAACUGGAGGACCGAACCGACUAAUGUUGAAAAAUUAGCGGAUGACUUGUGGCUGGGGGUGAAAGGCCAAUCAAACCGGGAGAUAGCUGGUUCUCCCCGAAAGCUAUUUAGGUAGCGCCUCGUGAAUUCAUCUCCGGGGGUAGAGCACUGUUUCGGCAAGGGGGUCAUCCCGACUUACCAACCCGAUGCAAACUGCGAAUACCGGAGAAUGUUAUCACGGGAGACACACGGCGGGUGCUAACGUCCGUCGUGAAGAGGGAAACAACCCAGACCGCCAGCUAAGGUCCCAAAGUCAUGGUUAAGUGGGAAACGAUGUGGGAAGGCCCAGACAGCCAGGAUGUUGGCUUAGAAGCAGCCAUCAUUUAAAGAAAGCGUAAUAGCUCACUGGUCGAGUCGGCCUGCGCGGAAGAUGUAACGGGGCUAAACCAUGCACCGAAGCUGCGGCAGCGACGCUGAUGCGUUGUUGGGUAGGGGAGCGUUCUGUAAGCCUGUGAAGGUGUGCUGUGAGGCAUGCUGGAGGUAUCAGAAGUGCGAAUGCUGACAUAAGUAACGAUAAAGCGGGUGAAAAGCCCGCUCGCCGGAAGACCAAGGGUUCCUGUCCAACGUUAAUCGGGGCAGGGUGAGUCGACCCCUAAGGCGAGGCCGAAAGGCGUAGUCGAUGGGAAACAGGUUAAUAUUCCUGUACUUGGUGUUACUGCGAAGGGGGGACGGAGAAGGCUAUGUUGGCCGGGCGACGGUUGUCCCGGUUUAAGCGUGUAGGCUGGUUUUCCAGGCAAAUCCGGAAAAUCAAGGCUGAGGCGUGAUGACGAGGCACUACGGUGCUGAAGCAACAAAUGCCCUGCUUCCAGGAAAAGCCUCUAAGCAUCAGGUAACAUCAAAUCGUACCCCAAACCGACACAGGUGGUCAGGUAGAGAAUACCAAGGCGCUUGAGAGAACUCGGGUGAAGGAACUAGGCAAAAUGGUGCCGUAACUUCGGGAGAAGGCACGCUGAUAUGUAGGUGAAGCGACUUGCUCGUGGAGCUGAAAUCAGUCGAAGAUACCAGCUGGCUGCAACUGUUUAUUAAAAACACAGCACUGUGCAAACACGAAAGUGGACGUAUACGGUGUGACGCCUGCCCGGUGCCGGAAGGUUAAUUGAUGGGGUCAGCGCAAGCGAAGCUCUUGAUCGAAGCCCCGGUAAACGGCGGCCGUAACUAUAACGGUCCUAAGGUAGCGAAAUUCCUUGUCGGGUAAGUUCCGACCUGCACGAAUGGCGUAAUGAUGGCCAGGCUGUCUCCACCCGAGACUCAGUGAAAUUGAACUCGCUGUGAAGAUGCAGUGUACCCGCGGCAAGACGGAAAGACCCCGUGAACCUUUACUAUAGCUUGACACUGAACAUUGAGCCUUGAUGUGUAGGAUAGGUGGGAGGCUUUGAAGUGUGGACGCCAGUCUGCAUGGAGCCGGCCUUGAAAUACCACCCUUUAAUGUUUGAUGUUCUAACGUUGACCCGUGAUCCGGGUUGCGGACAGUGUCUGGUGGGUAGUUUGACUGGGGCGGUCUCCUCCUAAAGAGUAACGGAGGAGCACGAAGGUUGGCUAAUCCUGGUCGGACAUCAGG